RNAcentral lists this ribosomal RNA (449 nucleotides) under uncultured bacterium. RNAcentral describes it as "bacterial SSU rRNA". It matches the Rfam family "Bacterial small subunit ribosomal RNA", at positions 355 to 796 of the family's 1533-position model. The record is from RNAcentral.
UGGGGAAUAUUGGACAAUGGGGGCAACCCUGAUCCAGCGAUGCCGCGUGUGUGAAGAAGGCCUGCGGGUUGUAAAGCACUUUAGGUGGUGAGGAUUGACGUAGUGAGGAAAUGCACUAUGUUUGACGUUAGCCACAAAAUAAGCACCGGCAAACUCUGUGCCAGCAGCCGCGGUAAUACAGAGGGUGCAAGCGUUAAUCGGAAUUACUGGGCGUAAAGGGCGCGUAGGUGGGAAGAUAAGUCAAAUGUGAAAGCCCUGGGCUUAACCUGGGAACUGCAUGUGAUACUGUCAUUCUAGAGUGAAGUAGAGGGUAGUGGAAUUUCCGGUGUAGCGGUGAAAUGCGUAGAUAUCGGAAGGAACACCAGUGGCGAAGGCGGCUACCUGGACUUUAACUGACACUGAGGCGCGAAAGCGUGGGGAGCGAACAGGAUUAGAUACCCGGGUAGUCC